Aphis gossypii (cotton aphid) is the source of this 2406-nucleotide long non-coding RNA. RefSeq lists it as uncharacterized. The record is from RefSeq and is a predicted model, not a curated record. NCBI's taxonomy places the organism in Eukaryota, Metazoa, Arthropoda, Insecta, Hemiptera, Aphididae. The transcript has 2 exons.
GACACAAAUGGUAUGUAUUACAUUUUAUUUUGUAUGAAACAAUUGCCUUAUGGUAUUUAUUCUUAUAAAUAUAUUAUGUGAAUUUAAGAACGAAUCGAUAUAGUCCAAUGAUGGCUUUUAUUUAUUAACUGUAAAUUAAUAAAAAAAAAUAAUUUUCAAAUCUAUCACUCUUAAAAACCGUUAAAAACGAAUUAUCUUACAUUCCGAAAAAUUUACAGCGAUUUAUUGCAUAAAUUAUAAUUUAUAAUACAUAAAUAUACUAUUAAUACUAGUUGGUAUUUCCAGAAAUUUUGUUUGUUAAGUUUAUAACACUAAAAAUACUUCUAAAAAUUCAUCAAACUUGCUUUAAUGUAUAGUAUGUUACUAUAAUUAUUGUAUUGAAUUUUAAGUCAAUGAUAAAUAAUUUUGAACAACAAAAAAAAAAACGAUUUCUGGAAGUCGAUACUUAGUCUUAUAGUCUAAAUGUGUAAAACUAUUUAAUAUCAUAGUAUACCUCAUUUAAUUUAUUUUGAUAAGUAAAAUUACAAAAUUUUAAUAUAAGUACUAUGUGUUUACCGUAAAGCUAAAAUUUUGAAUUUCUACACAAUUCUAGUACAAAUACUCAAUAAAAAAAUUUUAAUACUUUAUUUUAAUUAAAUUAAAUCGAUUUUGUCAAAAAAUUGUAUAACUUAUAAUUUUGGUUUAUAUAGUGGACGCAGCAGUUGUCUGUUGUUGAUGGUGCUUGUGUUAAGCUAGCGACUAGUUGUUGGUUCCCAGAUGGUCACCCAUCUGGGAAUUUUAUUAAAAAACCAGUCAAAUGCGAGACGGACUCGCGUACGAAGGGUUUUGUACCAUUUACAUAAUUUUGUGGUAGAUAGGUACAGGAAAACUUUGUCAAUCAACUCAUUGGUCUUUGCUGUUAUUUUACAGAAAUUUAUUGGCAAAGUAAUGCAUUGUGUUGAUUCAUCAAUUGCCAUGAAAACAAAUAAUAACAAAUUCAGGGAUAAUAAUAAUUAUUAUAAAAAAAAAAAAAAUAAUAAUAAACAAAUAGUAAAAUUAUUUCUUUCGCGCUAAUUAUUAUUAUUAGGUAUUGUAACUAAUAGCAACCAAACUAAAAUAUCAAAUAACUAAAAUUUCCAUAGUAAAUUUCUGUUUGAGCACCUUCCGGGGUUAGGUCUAUCACUUUUUAAAGUAUUUGUUGUUAUAGCGGUAACAGAAAUACAUCAUCUGUGAACAUUUCAACUGUCUAACUUUCACGGUUAAUGAGAUACAAUUUAUCGUAUUGUAUAAUAUAACUUAUACUAGUAUUAUAAUAACAAUAUAACAUCGACGCAAACGACGUUCAAAAAGAUCAAGAAAAAUAUUAAUGGUGGGCCAUAAUAUAAUAUUAUAAUAUUGUAACAACGGAUGUAAUUAUAUUAUUAACAAUACAGCGUCUCGCAAACAUCCGACUCUCCCAGUAGAUCGCUACCAAAUUGUAUACAUGAAUAUAUUUUGUGUAAGGACCAUAAUAGCAAUUAAAUCAUAUUUAUUGUUAGUUGAUAAAACAUAAUCAUUUUGUAUAAUAUUAUAUAUUAAUUGGUAUGUUGAUUAUUUUAUUUCUAGAACUAAAAAGUAUGUACCUACAAUUUUCUAUUUUAUUAAAAUCGUUGGUAUUUUGUUUUUUUUCUAUCCACGAUUUUAUGAUUACACCAUGUAGAGUUAUAUCACAUUAAAUUAAAAAUUAAUUUUUUUUUAUUGGUAGAGAAAUUUCUUAUGAAACUUGGAAAAUUUUACAAAGGAUUUAUAACAGAUGGUAUGUUUUAUUGUAUACCUACCAAUAUUUAUUAUAAUAUUUUAAUAAUUAAAAUCAACGCGAUUGUUUAUAGAAUAAUAACUAAAAUCUAAUAUAAUUGAUGCUUUUAUCAAAUAAAUAACACGAAAUAUAAACAUGAUCGAUGUGAAUACUGUUUUACUAAAUAAUUGACUGAGGCAAUGAUUUCUAAAUCUUACGGACCGAGUGUUAAAUUAAUUUUGUCAGAAUUACAGUAAAACACUGUUCUUAAAAUAAUACAUUUAUAAUCGAGUUCUGUAGCUUUAUUUUGUAAGAAAAUCUGAUGACAUAUAAUUAAAAGUCUAAAUCAAAUUUAUUUUUCAGAAUUAAAAGAAACAAAUGAUAUGAUACAAACAUUUUGCGAUUUCUAUGUUAGAGAUUCUCCACCAAAUAUUUUAAAGGACUAUUAUCGAGACGUAGUGCAAGAAAACAUAGGUCCUAUUAUAAACGAUCCUGAAGAAGAUUGAAAUCAUUUUAUUAUACAAUCAAAUAUUAAAUUGGAACUAAUUUAUGUAUUUAAGUUUUUGUUUGUUUGUUUUAAAUUAAGUAAAAGUUAACGAAAAUAUUUUAUGUUAUAUACAUAUAAUUAAUAAAUAAGAUUUAUAAAACCACAA